UCUAAAUUGGUCCUAACAGUGAAGGCAGGCAACCGUUGUCGAUGGCAAGCAGCAACUCUUUCUCUAAAGCACCGCCUUCCUGGUUUUCUCAGUGUUGGUCCUCUGCUCGCAGGACCAAACCUAUAAAUUCACCCUUUGACACUAUCGUCGCUACAAAUUCCUCCGAUGGACUCGUCCGCCGUCUCGGUCUCUUCGAUCUUAUUCUGCUUGGCGUUGGUGCCUCCAUUGGUGCCGGUAUCUUCGUCGUCACCGGAACCGUCGCUCGCGAUGCUGGACCUGGAGUCACAAUUAGUUUCAUACUAGCCGGAGUAUCAUGUAUAUUAAAUGCACUCUGUUAUGCUGAGCUGGCUUCUCGUUUCCCUGCUGUUGUUGGAGGAGCAUACUUGUAUGCAUAUUCAGCUUUCAAUGAAAUCACUGCUUUCCUUGUUUUUGGUCAACUGAUGCUUGAUUACCACAUUGGGGCAGCUAGCAUAGCGCGAAGUUUAGCAAGUUAUGUAGUCAC
Molecule: unclassified non-coding RNA, 502 nt
Filed under: Hevea brasiliensis (rubber tree)
Lineage: Eukaryota; Viridiplantae; Streptophyta; Magnoliopsida; Malpighiales; Euphorbiaceae
Source: RNAcentral